GACGAACGCUGGCGGCGUGCUUAACACAUGCAAGUCGAACGGUAAGGCCCUUCGGGUACGACGAGUGGCGAACGGGUGAGUAACACGUGGGUGAUCUGCCCUGCACUUCGGGAUAAGCCUGGGAAACUGGGUCUAAUACCGGAUAGGACCAUGGACUUCACGGUUUGUGGUGGAAAGCUUUUGCGGUGUGGGAUGGGCCCGCGGCCUAUCAGCUUGUUGGUGGGGUAAUGGCCUACCAAGGCGACGACGGGUAGCCGGCCUGAGAGGGUGUCCGGCCACACUGGGACUGAGAUACGGCCCAGACUCCUACGGGAGGCAGCAGUGGGGAAUAUUGCACAAUGGGCGCAAGCCUGAUGCAGCGACGCCGCGUGAGGGAUGACGGCCUCGGGUUGUAAACCUACUUUCAAUAGGACGAAGCGCAAGUGACGGUACCGUAUAGAAGAA
This 444-nucleotide ribosomal RNA is filed under the name uncultured bacterium. RNAcentral describes it as "bacterial SSU rRNA". It matches the Rfam family "Bacterial small subunit ribosomal RNA", at positions 28 to 489 of the family's 1533-position model. The record is from RNAcentral.